GGGGGCAACCCUGGCGGCGAGCGGCGAACGGGUGAGUAAUACAUCGGAACGUACCCAGGAGUGGGGGAUAACACAUCGAAAGAUGUGCUAAUACCGCAUACGCCCUGAGGGGGAAAGCGGGGGACCGCAAGGCCUCGCGCUGUUGGAGCGGCCGAUGUCGGAUUAGCUAGUUGGUGGGGUAAGGGCCUACCAAGGCGACGAUCCGUAGCUGGUCUGAGAGGAUGAUCAGCCACACUGGGACUGAGACACGGCCCAGACUCCUACGGGAGGCAGCAGUGGGGAAUUUUGGACAAUGGGGGCAACCCUGAUCCAGCCAUUCCGCGUGAGUGAAGAAGGCCUUCGGGUUGUAAAGCUCUUUCGGCAGGAACGAAACGGCGGGCUCUAACAUAGCCUGUCAAUGACGGUACCUGAAGAAGAAGCACCGGCUAACUACGUGCCAGCAGCCGCGGUAAUACGUAGGGUGCGAGCGUUAAUCGGAAUUACUGGGCGUAAAGCGUGCGCAGGCGGUUUUGUAAGACAGCUGUGAAAUCCCCGGGCUUAACCUGGGAACUGCGGUUGUGACUGCAAGACUAGAGUGCGGCAGAGGGGGGUGGAAUUCCACGUGUAGCAGUGAAAUGCGUAGAGAUGUGGAGGAACACUGAUGGCGAAGGCAGCCCCCUGGGUUGACACUGACGCUCAUGCACGAAAGCGUGGGUAGCAAACAGGAUUAGAUACCCUGGUAGUCCACGCCCUAAACGAUGCCAACUAGGUGUUGGGGAAGGAGACUUCCUUAGUACCGUAGCUAACGCGUGAAGUUGGCCGCCUGGGGAGUACGGUCGCAAGAUUAAAACUCAAAGGAAUUGACGGGGACCCGCACAAGCGGUGGAUGAUGGUGGAUUAAUUCGAUGC
RNAcentral lists this ribosomal RNA (888 nucleotides) under uncultured bacterium. RNAcentral describes it as "bacterial SSU rRNA". It matches the Rfam family "Bacterial small subunit ribosomal RNA", at positions 75 to 957 of the family's 1533-position model. The record is from RNAcentral.